AAAUGAUCUUUCUUACGCUGACCUGUGCCCCUAUCUUUUGAAGGUACUCUUUGAGUCUGACCACUGCCAGGCAUUAGUUACACCAAUUGUCUCAACCUUUUUCAACGGAAUAAUCUUUUCACUACAAGGAAUUCACAAUAUGCCUUUCAGCAACAUGGAUGGAGACAGAUAAAGGAACUAACAGGAACAGAAAACCAAAUGCUGCAUAUUCUCACUUCUAAGUGG
This 225-nucleotide long non-coding RNA is filed under the name Callithrix jacchus (white-tufted-ear marmoset). RNAcentral describes it as "lncRNA (ENSCJAG00000059186.2)". The record is from RNAcentral. Lineage: Eukaryota; Metazoa; Chordata; Mammalia; Primates; Cebidae.